UACGUAGGGUGCAAGCGUUAAUCGGAAUUACUGGGCGUAAAGCGUGCGCAGGCGGCUUUGCAAGACAGAUGUGAAAUCCCCGGGCUCAACCUGGGAACUGCAUUUGUGACUGCAAGGCUGGAGUACGGUAGAGGGGGAUGGAAUUCCGCGUGUAGCAGUGAAAUGCGUAGAUAUGCGGAGGAACACCGAUGGCGAAGGCAAUCCCCUGGGCCUGUACUGACGCUCAUGCACGAAAGCGUGGGGAGCAAACAGG
This 253-nucleotide ribosomal RNA is filed under the name uncultured bacterium. RNAcentral's name for it is "partial 16S ribosomal RNA". It matches the Rfam family "Bacterial small subunit ribosomal RNA", at positions 524 to 776 of the family's 1533-position model. The record is from RNAcentral.